This 242-nucleotide ribosomal RNA is filed under the name uncultured bacterium. RNAcentral's name for it is "partial 16S ribosomal RNA". It matches the Rfam family "Bacterial small subunit ribosomal RNA", at positions 535 to 776 of the family's 1533-position model. The record is from RNAcentral.
CUAGCGUUGCUCGGAAUCACUGGGCGUAAAGGGCGCGUAGGCGGCCUGAUAAGUCGGGGGUGAAAGCCUGUGGCUCAACCACAGAAUUGCCUUCGAUACUGUUGGGCUUGAGACCGGAAGAGGUAAGUGGAACUGCGAGUGUAGAGGUGAAAUUCGUAGAUAUUCGCAAGAACACCAGUGGCGAAGGCGGCUUACUGGUCCGGAUCUGACGCUGAGGCGCGAAAGCGUGGGGAGCAAACAGG